RNAcentral lists this ribosomal RNA (111 nucleotides) under Acanthosepion pharaonis. The record is from RNAcentral. Lineage: Eukaryota; Metazoa; Mollusca; Cephalopoda; Sepiida; Sepiidae.
CGGCCACAUAACGUUGAAACUCCGGUUUCCGUACAAUCUCCGAAGUUAAGCAACGUCGAAACUGGUCAGUACCCAGAUAGGUGACCGGUUAGGAAUACCAGGUACUGUAAG